UUUCCGUAGGUGAACCUGCGGAAGGAUCAUUACUGAAUGAGACCUCCGGUUUCAAACACCUGCUGCUUUCAUCUGUGCGCAUUCGGGCUUGCACGUUGGAUGCGGCAUAUUCACAACACACCUGUGCACCUUUCAGACGUCUAGGGCUCAAAAGCCAUGGCGUUUGCCCCUUACACAAAUCACAGUCUUAGAAGGUCAUAUAAACAUAACAAUUACAACUUUCAACAACGGAUCUCUUGGCUCUC
This 245-nucleotide unclassified non-coding RNA is filed under the name plant metagenome. RNAcentral describes it as "partial contains small subunit ribosomal RNA, internal transcribed spacer 1, and 5.8S ribosomal RNA". The record is from RNAcentral.